This 3021-nucleotide unclassified non-coding RNA is filed under the name Leishmania donovani. Its description in RNAcentral is "gene:LdHU3.16.0450(CDS-product:hypothetical_prote in_conserved)". The record is from RNAcentral. Lineage: Eukaryota; Euglenozoa; Kinetoplastea; Trypanosomatida; Trypanosomatidae.
UCGUUGCAUGUCGACCACCUCUGCGUCUGCAUCUUUCAUCACCAGCAGCCCCGCCAUCACGCCAUCACACACACACACACACGCGCGCGCACAACUCUCCUUCUUGCUGUUCUUUACUUUUUGCGCACUCGCUUGAUGGCCGCGUGCUUCGCGUGUCCUCAUCAUCUCCAAACUACAUCGCCCUCUUCUGCCGUGGGCUUCUCCUCCAUACUCUUGCCGGCUGUGUGCACUCGUGCGUGUGCGUGUCGCGAAGUGCUCACAGCGCCUCCGGGGUCGCACUGGCUCCGCAUCCGCAAGCGGCAACACCACACGAAAACCAAACGAAAAGGGAAGUCCCCUCUACCUCUCGCCUUUUGUAGCUCUCUCUCUCUCCCUCCGCCCCCGCCCCCCUCUCUCCCUUUUGACUCGCACCCCUUCCGCCGGAGAUCGUCGGCUUUGGUGCUUCCGGCCAGCGAACCUCUAUCGAUCGAUCCCGCGCACUGUCUUGUCUUGUCUCUCCAACGCUCUGCUCCUCGCUGAGCUCCCCUCGCCUUCCCUUCCUCCGUCUCGUCUGUGUCUUCUCUUCUUCCGUCCACGAACAUGCUCUCGAACCGUUUUGACGUCGGCCGCAUAGAAACGUAAGACGUCGUGCACGUGUGCAUUUUUUUUUGCCUGUGUAGGCACGUUCGAGCGUGUGCCUCUGCCCCUGAUCCCUCCUCGUCCUUUCUGUAGCCCUCUCCGCUCGCCGCGGUGAGAGUGAACACGUCGCGCCGUUGCUUGCGGCGUUUUGUUGGCGACGCUCAACGCCGUGCCGCCCCCUCCCCCCUUUACCUUCUUUUCUCGUAGUUGCCGUCUCGUAGGAGCUGUUCCUUCACGUGCACUGUGCCUUGCCUGGAGCAUCAGUCGCACUCAUGCGCUAGUCGGUGCGCAUCGCAAAUAGUGCGCAUUCUAGUAGCAGUGGACUCCUGUCCCGUUAGCAGUAGACUGUAUGGGCCUCACGUAGCGGUGCUCGGGACGACGCCGGAUACGUGCGCCACCUCUUCAGCCGUUGUGUGUGUGUGUGUGUCUGCCCUUCAGCGGCAGCAGCACUUGUGCCCUCAUUCGUUUUUGUUUUGUGUUGUGCCCGCAUUUGCUCUUCCUCCGCCUCUGCUUGGUCUCGCAUGCGCGACUACUUGCUCAGCUUCUCAUUUUAUUGUGUGCCGUAUCCUGUGCGUACCAGUCGGACCGAAUCCCCGCCUCCGCUCAGCUGCCCGUCCCUGCGAUAUACUCCUCGCAUUCUGCGUCUCUGGUAUGGCCUGCGACUCUCGCCUCCGCUCCCGCUUCUCACCCAGCGACGCUCCUCCAGACACGCUAGCGGUCGAUGCGAUCGACAGCUGUUUCUCCCAUGCUGUCACACUUCUCAUGGAAGCGCAGCGUGCUUGUGCUUUCUGGCGUUGGUGCCGUCUCUACGCGCGUGAGGCACAGCGAUGGGGCGGGAGUGCGUCGGUGCCGUUUGCUUUAUCCGUGCAUCUCGCUCGCCAGUAGCAUGUCAUGUCACCUAACCUCGACGCGUAAGCUGUUCGGCCACUGGGGGAUUUCAAAAUCAGGGCUGACGACUACGGACGGCCAGAACCCAACAGCAGCAACGUGCGCGGACUCCAGCGCAACGGAAUCGGACACUUCUUUGACCGCUGCACAGGUAUCUGCGCUGACAAGCGAAGCUCAGCAGCUCCGCCAGCAGGUGAGCGAUCUCAAGGGGGCCCUAGAGAAUAGCCAAGAAGCUCUCAAGCAGCUCUUAAUCUUGUCCGCGUCGAAGACGCCGCAUCCAGCGUGGGGAGCCGCCGCAGCGGCACAUGCGUCGGCACCCGCGGCUACUACCGCCUCUUCUUCAGUGCCAUCUCUGGAUGGCCAUCAGCACCGACAAGGCACCUGCUGUGUUGUGCGCACGAGCGAGGAGCUCAUGAGCGCCCUGCGCGGACACGGCAGCGAGCGCACCUCGCUCACGGUGCUGCUGAACGGGAAGCUGUUCAUCCUCGACCCCUACGCCCCUGUUGUAGUCAACCGAACACGUGUGUCCAUUGUAGGAAAUAACGCUAUCAUCAUUGGGCGAAUCGCCGUGAAAGGCCGCGGCGCGCUGCUGUCCGCCUCGGAUGUCUUCUUCCUGGAACUAGGCGACAUGCAGCUCCGGAGCGUGAGCCGUGACGGUGGCGACGAGGUCUCCACUACUGCUGCUGCUGCUGAGGCGACGGCGCCGCUCUUGAUCAACCCAAGGGGCCGAAAGGAGAAGGGUGCUACCGAGUUUCUCAUGCCGGUCGUCAGUGCCACCGUUGGCGCCGGUGUACACCUGGACCGCUGCACGCUGAGCAGCGGCCGAGAUGGCGUCUACCUGGGCAUGGGCAGCCACUGCACCCUCAACCGCGUACGUAUCGUGAACUGCAUCCGCGGGUUGUAUGAGGGUGUUGGCUGCCGUACCUCAAUGCUGUCGGCGUGCACGUUCCAGUCCAAUCGGUAUCAUAUGGUGCUGCUGGGGCCCAACAACGCUGAACGAGCCGCGCGGGUGUUCUGCGGAGCGUCGGGCACUCGCACUGCGGCGGUGGCGAGCCCGAGCGCUGCAGCGGACACGGAGGGGCCAGCUUACUCGGUGGUGUUCACGAGCGCUGCCUCGGCUGCAGACGUCCUCGCGCCCGGUUUCACCAGCGACGGUGCCAUUGCGACGCAGCAGACGAAGGCACAGGUGGUGCUUCAGCAUUGCCCUAUCACAGACGUUUACAGCGACUGCUGGUGCGACGGGGCCAAGGUGGAGCUGUCUGCGCAAGACGCGACGGCCGGGCUCAGUGACCCUCUCUUCUAAGCCGUGCCUGCGGACGCACACUCGAACCGGCAUGAUCAUGUGGUCGAGGGAGGCUUCUGCAUGUCUGCACAGAUGUGUAGGGGAGCUGCCACGACACACGCGGGUGUCUUUGGUGGCUUGCGUCGAUUGUUUGCCUGCUAGUGCUGCUGCUGCUGCUGCUACUGUUGGCGCUGGCUGUCCACGACGAACGCCGCCCCCGGUCGGAAGAAACG